CCCUUAGACGUUCUGGGCCGCACGCGCGCUACACUGACCAGUGCAACAAGCAUCCGUCCUUGGCCGACAGGCUCGGGCAAUCUUUGAACGCUGGUCGUGAUGGGGAUAGACUUUUGCAAUUUUUGGUCUUCAACGAGGAAUUCCUAGUAAACGCAAGUCAUCAACUUGCAUUGAUUACGUCCCUGCCCUUUGUACACACCGCCUGUCGCACCUACCGAUUGAAUGGUCCGGUGAAGCCUCCGGAUUGGCGCGCACCUCGGUGCCGCCGAGAAGUUGGCUAAACCUUACCAUUUAGAGGAAGGUGAAGUCGUAACA
Molecule: ribosomal RNA, 315 nt
Filed under: uncultured eukaryote
Lineage: Eukaryota
Description: partial 18S ribosomal RNA
Rfam family: Eukaryotic small subunit ribosomal RNA
Source: RNAcentral